UAAUAGGCAUUACUGGCUUAUGGUGUGGCUA
RNAcentral lists this non-coding RNA (31 nucleotides) under Rattus norvegicus (Norway rat). Lineage: Eukaryota; Metazoa; Chordata; Mammalia; Rodentia; Muridae. The record is from RNAcentral.